UGUGGCCUACGGGAGGCAGCAGUGAGGAAUAUUGGUCAAUGGACGCAAGUCUGAACCAGCCAUGCCGCGUGCAGGAAGACGGCUCUAUGAGUUGUAAACUGCUUUUGUACGAGGGUAAACGCAGAUACGCGUAUCUGUCUGAAAGUAUCGCACGAACAAGGAUCGGCUAACUCCGUGCCAGCAGCCGCGGUAAUACGGAGGAUUCAAGCGUUAUCCGCAUUUAUUGGGUUUAAAGGGUGCGUAGGCGGUCGGAUAAGUUAGAGGUGAAA
RNAcentral lists this ribosomal RNA (269 nucleotides) under uncultured bacterium. RNAcentral's name for it is "partial 16S ribosomal RNA". It matches the Rfam family "Bacterial small subunit ribosomal RNA", at positions 333 to 599 of the family's 1533-position model. The record is from RNAcentral.